This 253-nucleotide ribosomal RNA is filed under the name uncultured bacterium. RNAcentral describes it as "partial 16S ribosomal RNA". It matches the Rfam family "Bacterial small subunit ribosomal RNA", at positions 524 to 776 of the family's 1533-position model. The record is from RNAcentral.
UACGUAGGGUGCAAGCGUUGAUCGGAAUUACUGGGCGUAAAGCGUGCGCAGGCGGUUAUGUAAGACAGAUGUGAAAUCCCCGGGCUCAACCUGGGAACUGCAUUUGUGACUGCAUGGCUAGAGUACGGUAGAGGGGGAUGGAAUUCCGCGUGUAGCAGUGAAAUGCGUAGAUAUGCGGAGGAACACCGAUGGCGAAGGCAAUCCCCUGGACCUGUACUGACGCUCAUGCACGAAAGCGUGGGGAGCAAACAGG